GCCCUUAGAGUUUGAUCCUGGCUCAGAGCGAACGCUGGCGGCAGGCCUAACACAUGCAAGUCGAGCGGCCGUAGCAAUACGGCAGCGGCAGACGGGAGAGUAACACGUGGGAACGCGCCCUUCGGUUCGGAAUAACUCAGGGAAACUUGGGCUAAUACCGGAUACGCCCUUACGGGGAAAGAUUUAUUGCCGAAGGAACGGCCCGCGUCCGAUUAGCUCGUUGGUGAGGUAACGGCUCACCAAGGCGACGAUCGGUAGCUGGUCUGGGAGGAUGACCAGCCUCACUGGGACUGAGACACGGCCCAGACUCCUACGGGAGGCAACAGUGGGGAAUAUUGGACAAUGGGCGCAAGCCUGAUCCAGCCAUGCCGCGUGGGUGAUGAAGGCCCUAGGGUUGUAAAGCCCUUUCAGCGGGGAAGAUAAUGACGUACCCGCAGAAGAGCCCCCGA
This 449-nucleotide ribosomal RNA is filed under the name uncultured soil bacterium. RNAcentral's name for it is "bacterial SSU rRNA". It matches the Rfam family "Bacterial small subunit ribosomal RNA", at positions 1 to 496 of the family's 1533-position model. The record is from RNAcentral.